RNAcentral lists this ribosomal RNA (303 nucleotides) under Triticum aestivum (bread wheat). RNAcentral describes it as "partial small subunit ribosomal RNA". Lineage: Eukaryota; Viridiplantae; Streptophyta; Magnoliopsida; Poales; Poaceae. The record is from RNAcentral.
UCUUCUGCAGGGCAAUUUAUCUGUGGCAAUAGGCAUGGUGAUGAAAAACAUGGGCUAGGUAGUUAUGAGGUGAAUUUUUCUUAUGUUGAAGCAGGGGAGCAGAAACAAGCACUAGUGAAGCUGGUAGCUUGCAAGAGAUGUGCAGAAAAGAUUGCUUAUAAGAGCCUGAAGGAGAAAGAGAAAGAGGAGGAGGAUCCCUACGGUGAAAAGGAAAUUGAGUUGAAAGACAGGGACAAGAGAAAGAGGUAUCUUAAGUUCUUGUUCUUGUCCAACCCCGUUAUUUUGUUACACUACAUUCUUUGA